Molecule: long non-coding RNA, 1111 nt
Filed under: Mytilus galloprovincialis (Mediterranean mussel)
Lineage: Eukaryota; Metazoa; Mollusca; Bivalvia; Mytilida; Mytilidae
Source: RNAcentral
UUUUAGAAAGAAACACAUGUUUGUCACAAAGUAAUUAGUUGUUGAACAAUAGGCCAAUUUAUACUAUGAAAUAUAAAUGCAAGCUCUACCUUAUGGAAUAUGAUACUUAUCAGGUGCUACACAGUGUAAAGAAUAUUUACACAAUUUUUACCCCGUGUGCCAUUUGUUGUCAUUCAUAUCUGAGACCCCAGUUAAAAGUAGAAUUGAAAAAUCUAUAGUAUAUAAAAGCUUGAUAACUUCAAGGUCCUGUCAUGAAAAAUUACAAUUGUCUCAAAAUAUCAUUAAACUUUGUUUCCAUAUAAUAUUCCCUGCUAUUAUUUUAUGGGAGAGGGGGGAUUCCUAUCAAUUGAAAAAAGCAAAAACCUUUAUGGUAUCACAUCAUUUCCCACUUACCCAUCAACAUAUCAGGAAACAGUUAAGUUGAAUGUCUGUCAAUUUAAAAAAAAAUUAAGUGUGUUUUCUUAAACAAAACAUUUAUUGAUUUGUUUUGUGUUAUUAAGAUUUGCUGUUAAUUUUUUUUAAAAAUUAUUAUGAAUUAAGGAAGAUAUCUCCCUCAGUCAAAGCUCUGAUUCAAUGCCAGGCUUUGGCUGUACUAUUUGGUCCUGUUAAAUUUAUAAGCUCUUCAUUUUGUUAACAAUUUUUCAAUUUUCAAGUAUUUUGGUCUUGAGCAACACCAACAAGACAUUUAUUCUUGAAAUACAAGAAAAAUUGGUACCAUUAAUAUUGAUAUUGUUUUUAUCAAAACUUUAUUUGACAUAUACCCUAGUUUAAAUAAGAACAAUUUCAAAAUACUUGUCAAAUGAUAUUUGGGAUGUAAGGCUUGUUUUUAGUUAUAUUUUCUUUAUAGAAAUUUAAGGUUUUCUAAUUAAAAAAGUUCAUGCAUUGCAUAGGAAAAAAAACCAAAGCUGUUAUACUAUGGUAAAUAAAAAUGUAUGAAAUGAACAUCCUUGGGUAGUUUUGUAGUAUCCUUUGAGUAUUGACUAGAUUAGAAUUAAAUUUGUAACGGAGCAUUCCUUGGAACUUCCUAGUUCUUACUGUUGCUGUUUAGCUCUAUCCUGUCAGCAUGAUCAAUAUGUUUCUGUUUUAACUUGAAUUAAAGUCUUCCAAACAG